Molecule: microRNA precursor, 88 nt
Filed under: Microtus ochrogaster (prairie vole)
Lineage: Eukaryota; Metazoa; Chordata; Mammalia; Rodentia; Cricetidae
Description: microRNA 192 (ENSMOCG00000007087.1)
Rfam family: mir-192/215 microRNA precursor family (bases 5-83)
About the family: This family represents the human microRNA (miRNA) precursors mir-192 and mir-215. Animal miRNAs are transcribed as ~70nt precursors and subsequently processed by the Dicer enzyme to give a ~22nt product.
Source: RNAcentral
GUGCACAGGGCUCUGACCUAUGAAUUGACAGCCAGUACUCUGGUUUUUCCUCUGGCUGCCAAUUCCAUAGGUCACAGGUAUGUUCGCC